UACACACCGCCCGUCACACCAUGGGAGUUGGCUUUACCUGAAGGCGGCGCGCUAACCCGCAAGGGAGGCAGCCGACCACGGUAGGGUCAGCGACUGGGGUG
RNAcentral lists this ribosomal RNA (101 nucleotides) under uncultured bacterium. RNAcentral's name for it is "partial 16S ribosomal RNA". It matches the Rfam family "Bacterial small subunit ribosomal RNA", at positions 1384 to 1482 of the family's 1533-position model. The record is from RNAcentral.